CGCGCCCGUCAAACUGAGACGGGGGGGGCGCGCUCGCCUGCGAGUAGCCGAGCUGCUGCGGCGUGGGGGGGGGGGGGUUGGAACGCAGGGCCUCCCGGUGCAGCUCCACCGUGGGGACGCACGGCCUCCUGGUGCAGCUCCACCGUGGGGACGCAGGGCCUCUUGGUACCAUUCUGCGCUGGAGCCGCACGGUCCGUCGUGGGGACGGGGACCUCUCCCAGUGCCGCUCCGUGCUGGGACCAAAAGGCUUUCUAGGGCAGCUCCGCCUUGGGGUUGCGAGGCCUCCUGGUGCAGUACGGCACUGGGGAAACUGAGGCGGAGAGCCCUGACUUGUCCAAGAAUGCCCAGCAGGGCAGGGGUGGCGCAGAAACUGGAACCCAGGCCGCCUGAGACCCAGCCCAACAGCAUUUUGGCCCUAGUGAUCAACAGAGAUCGAUGAGAGGGGGAGCUCUCUAGGGAGGAGGUGACUGUAACCCCUUUUUGGUCCCAUCCCGAUGACAGAGGAAGACGGAUCUCUGCCCUGGGAAGUUCACAGACCACACGGUGGCAGGACAUUCCCUUAAAGCUCUGCCCCCUUUCAGAAAAAAUAUUACCCAAGCCUCCCUGUGGACAGAAAAUCUGAAGUAACCAACAGAGCAGCAUUUACCCCUAAGGGGUAGGAGGAUGGACUUGGGGUAACUGCUGCCUGUCUUUUGGGAACCCCACGUGAAGGGCCUUGGCCUGACUUUCAAAGGCACUGCGUGCUCACUGCCACCGCUGACUUCCACAGUAGAGAGACAAGACAGACAAUUUGACCAAGACAACUUGGUGCAUAAUCUUUAGGACCUAGCUCAGAGGUGGGCAAACUACAGCCUGCAGGACCGUCCUACCUGGCCCUUGAGCUCCCGGCCGGGGAGGCUCGCCCCCAGCCCCUUCCCUGCUGUCCCCCCUCUCCCGCAGCUACACCGCUGCGUGGGCAGCGCUCUGGGCGGCGGAGUUGUGCGCUCCUGCCGAGCAGAGCGGCAGCGUGUCUAGCUCCAGCUGGGCGGUGCGGCUGCCAGACAUGCUGCUCUGAACGGCAUGUAGCAUCAAGAGUCUCCGACAGAGAUGUGGGCCCCCAGCAUGCCAGGCAGACAAUCCCUGAGAAGAGCUCACACUUAGAGGAGGAUGGAAGGGGGAAACUAAGGCACAGAAAGAGCAAACAGACAGGACCUUCUGUCCAACGGUUGGGGCAACGCUGGGGAAGGAUUGGAAGGACUUUGAUCUACUAGUGCCCCAGAAAACUGAUGGUGACCUCUGGUAAGCUUUUAGCAUAUAGGAACGCUGAUUGUUUUUUUAUAUUUUCUCUAUAAUGCUUUUAACUUAAGAAUGAAUGUGCUUGCUUGGAAAGGGCUGUGUGAUGACACUCAGAGAGAAAGCAAAGCAUAGGUGCUGGUCUCUAGGCAGACUGACAUGCCGGGGAUAUCACAGAGUAAGGCAGAGAGCAAUACAGCCUUAAAACCCCCGGGGUCAGUGAGGAAUGGGACAAGAAACAGGUGAUGGCUGGAGACCUGAUUGGGAGUUCCAGGCACAGUUACUCUGAAAUUGUGACAUCUGGCUCUGAUAUUGAUUCUCUUCUGUGACCACAGACAAGAUAUUUCCCUCUCGGCCUUGUAAAAUGGGGAGAACGCUCUCUAACUUUGCCGGAAGUCUGUGAAUUGCUUAGUGAAUGUAAAGCUCACUGAAGAUAAAACAAAAUAUUAUUGAAGUGCUAAUUAAUUGAUAUUAAGAAUACUAUCCCAGAACAAUGAUGCAAAAAGAUUUAAAGCCAAACUCUUCCCAUGAUGCCACUUCCAAGUUUGUUCCUGAAAACUGUACCAACAGGUCAAAUGAUAUUGUACAAGAACAGCACAAUCUA
This is a long non-coding RNA of Chelonia mydas (Green sea turtle), 1876 nucleotides long. RefSeq lists it as uncharacterized. NCBI's taxonomy places the organism in Eukaryota, Metazoa, Chordata, Testudines, Cheloniidae. The record is from RefSeq and is a predicted model, not a curated record. The transcript is spliced from 4 exons.